Molecule: ribosomal RNA, 1415 nt
Filed under: uncultured bacterium
Lineage: Bacteria
Description: bacterial SSU rRNA
Rfam family: Bacterial small subunit ribosomal RNA
Source: RNAcentral
ACACAUGCGAGUCGAGGGGCAGCGGAUAAAGUAGCUUGCUACUUUUGCCGGCGACCGGCGAACGGGUGCGUAACGCGUAUGCAACCUACCUCGAACUGGGGGAUAAUCCGGAGAAAUCUGGUCUAAUACCCCAUAACAUCCGAAGGGACAUCCCUUUGGGUUGAAAGCUCCGGCGGUUCGAGAUGGGCAUGCGUUGUAUUAGCUAGUUGGUGAGGUAACGGCUCACCAAGGCUACGAUACAUAGGGGGACUGAGAGGUUUACCCCCCACACUGGUACUGAGACACGGACCAGACUCCUACGGGAGGCGGCAGUGAGGAAUAUUGGUCAAUGGACGCAAGUCUGAACCAGCCAUGCCGCGUGCAGGAUGACGGCUCUAUGAGUUGUAAACUGCUUUUGUACGAGGGUAAACCCGGAUACGUGUAUCCGGCUGAAAGUACCGUACGAAUAAGGAUCGGCUAACUCCGUGCCAGCAGCCGCGGUAAUACGGAGGAUCCAAGCGUUAUCCGGAUUUAUUGGGUUUAAAGGGUGCGUAGGCGGCCCGGUAAGUUAGAGGUGAAAGCCCGUGGCUCAACCACGGAAAUGCCUCUGAUACUGCCAGGCUAGAGAAUAGUUGCUGUGGGCGGAAUGUGUGGUGUAGCGGUGAAAUGCUUAGAGAUCACACAGAACACCGAUUGCGAAGGCAGCUCACAAAGCUAUUUCUGACGCUGAGGCACGAAAGCGUGGGGAGCAAACAGGAUUAGAUACCCUGGUAGUCCACGCCGUAAACGAUGAUGGCUCGUUGCCGGCGAUACACUGUCGGUGACUUAGCGAAAGCGUUAAGCCAUCCACCUGGGGAGUACGUUCGCAAGAAUGAAACUCAAAGGAAUUGACGGGGGCCCGCACAAGCGGAGGAACAUGUGGUUUAAUUCGAUGAUACGCGAGGAACCUUACCCGGGCUUGAAAGUUAGUGACGAUUGCCGAAAGGCGAUUUCCCUUCGGGGCACGAAACUAGGUGCUGCAUGGUUGUCGUCAGCUCGUGCCGUGAGGUGUCGGGUUAAGUCCCAUAACGAGCGCAACCCCUACUGUUAGUUGCCAGCGGAUAAUGCCGGGAACUCUAGCAGAACUGCCACCGUAAGGUGAGAGGAAGGUGGGGAUGACGUCAAAUCAGCACGGCCCUUACGUCCGGGGCGACACACGUGUUACAAUGGUCGGUACAGAGGGCAGCUACCCCGCGAGGGGAUGCAAAUCUCGAAAGCCGAUCUCAGUUCGGAUCGGAGGCUGAAACUCGCCUCCGUGAAGUUGGAUUCGCUAGUAAUCGCGCAUCAGCCAUGGCGCGGUGAAUACGUUCCCGGGCCUUGUACACACCGCCCGUCAAGCCAUGGAAGUUGGGGGUGCCUGAAGUCCGUCACCGUAAGGAGCGGCCUAGGCAAAACCU